AUUAGGGUUUACAGCACAAGUAUAUAAAGCUGUGACCACACGAUGCUAACCAUCUUCAUCUGAUAGCACUGACACGUUUUGUUCAAUGAGGUCAAUUGCAAUAUCAUGAUCAAAAUGGUCGAGUUCUUAUCGAAACAGAAAAGGUAUAAUUUGUAAAGCUGGAGAAAACCUUACAUCCUAUGCAUAGGAAAGUCAUCCACCCAUCUUGUGUCCAUUUAAAUGUUUUACUCGACGCUUUCACAAAAGCUAGGUUGAUGGAUGAAGCCAAGAGGGUUUAUGAGGAGCUAUAAACCUUUGGUAUAGUUCCUGAUCUUGUAUGUUAUCGUACCCUGCUGAAAUGUGGAAAGCAUGAAUGAACUAUUUUGAAAGCAUACGCGAGUCAACAAAAG
This 389-nucleotide small RNA is filed under the name Vigna angularis var. angularis. RNAcentral's name for it is "Non-protein coding transcript". The record is from RNAcentral. Lineage: Eukaryota; Viridiplantae; Streptophyta; Magnoliopsida; Fabales; Fabaceae.